This 464-nucleotide ribosomal RNA is filed under the name uncultured bacterium. Its description in RNAcentral is "bacterial SSU rRNA". It matches the Rfam family "Bacterial small subunit ribosomal RNA", at positions 337 to 793 of the family's 1533-position model. The record is from RNAcentral.
UCCUACGGGAGGCAGCAGUGGGGAAUAUUGCACAAUGGGCGCAAGCCUGAUGCAGCCAUGCCGCGUGUAUGAAGAAGGCCUUCGGGUUGUAAAGUACUUUCAGCAGUGAGGAAGGUGGGUAUGUUAAUAGCAUACUCAUUUGACGUUAGCUGCAGAAGAAGCACCGGCUAACUCCGUGCCAGCAGCCGCGGUAAUACGGAGGGUGCGAGCGUUAAUCGGAAUUACUGGGCGUAAAGCGCAUGCAGGUGGUUUGUUAAGUCAGAUGUGAAAGCCCGGGGCUCAACCUCGGAAUUGCAUUUGAAACUGGCAAACUAGAGUACUGUAGAGGGGGUAGAAUUUCAGGUGUAGCGGUGAAAUGCGUAGAGAUCUGAAGGAAUACCGGUGGCGAAGGCGGCCCCCUGGACAGAUACUGACACUCAGAUGCGAAAGCGUGGGGACGCAAACAGGAUUAGAUACCCUGGUAG